AGUGAACGCUGGCGGUAGGCCUAACACAUGCAAGUCGAACGGCAGCGCAGUAAGAGCAUGCUCUUACGGGUGGCGAGUGGCGGACGGGUGAGGAAUACAUCGGAAUCUACUUUUUCGUGGGGGAUAACGUAGGGAAACUUACGCUAAUACCGCAUACGACCUACGGGUGAAAGCAGGGGAUCUUCGGACCUUGCGCGAUUGAAUGAGCCGAUGUCGGAUUAGCUAGUUGGCGGGGUAAAGGCCCACCAAGGCGACGAUCCGUAGCUGGUCUGAGAGGAUGAUCAGCCACACUGGAACUGAGACACGGUCCAGACUCCUACGGGAGGCAGCAGUGGGGAAUAUUGGACAAUGGGCGCAAGCCUGAUCCAGCCAUACCGCGUGGGUGAAGAAGGCCUUCGGGUUGUAAAGCCCUUUUGUUGGGAAAGAAAAGCAGCAGGUUAAUACCCCGCUGUUCUGACGGUACCCAAAGAAUAAGCACCGGCUAACUUCGUG
RNAcentral lists this ribosomal RNA (492 nucleotides) under uncultured bacterium. RNAcentral describes it as "partial 16S ribosomal RNA". It matches the Rfam family "Bacterial small subunit ribosomal RNA", at positions 29 to 507 of the family's 1533-position model. The record is from RNAcentral.